Dromaius novaehollandiae (emu) is the source of this 2802-nucleotide long non-coding RNA. RefSeq lists it as uncharacterized. The record is from RefSeq and is a predicted model, not a curated record. NCBI's taxonomy places the organism in Eukaryota, Metazoa, Chordata, Aves, Casuariiformes, Dromaiidae. The transcript has 4 exons.
ACGCGCCGGGCACGUGGGGCGGGCGGGAAGGGGCGCGCGCCCGGCCGUUGGGCUAACGGUCGCUGCGCUAACGGUCGCUGCCGCCCGCCGCCCGCCCUGUGGGGAGCCUGCCGCGAAGGGGAAAAGCGGCUCCCCCUCUCCCCGGUACCGGCCCUCGCGCAAGGGUUGGGUCGGGUUUCUUCCGCGGCGCUCCCGCUCCCGCCAGAGGCUGCUCUGCUGUUCAGGUAACCGCACUUUUCGUGGGCCUGAAGUUGCCAGGCCCAAGAAAGAAACAGAAACGCUCAUUAUGAGGGCUCAGUUCAGGGCCUUGCUCUGGGCUCUCCGGUUUGGCCAGUUCCUCCUGUGUAGCCCUACUCAUAGCCAUCUGCCUGAGAGCAGCCAAGUUCGCAGAGAGCAGCCCUUGGCCGUGAGCCAAGCCACCAGUGAGGGUGUUGACUGAGAUCACACUGAUAGACUUGAACAGAUUUGCUUGUACCCUCCCUCUGGUUUACUUCAUCCUUAUUUUUCAAGGGUAUAUGAUACUGCUUUGGUUUUGGCUAGUUCCUUAUUAGCAAUAAUCCUUAGCUUCUACAGCUAAUGUUUCAUUUAUGGUUCCAUGUGAAAGGCCCUGCUGGAGUCCAGAUCAAUUAAGUCUGUUCUGUUUAUAUAUACCCAGAAGUCAUACCUGUUCUCACUGAGACCCAUUUUACCCAGCACAGUUUAGUUUUAGCAAGACAAUGCUGUAUCUCAGUCACAUCUUUCAGCUAUCUCCAUGUUUUAAGCAUUCGUUGAAAGCAUUGCAUACUCGAGAGAACCAAAUAAUAGGCCAAUAGGUAAUGCGUUGUUGGAGACGUUUACCCCCUCUGUGAAAGUGUACCUCGUGAAGCUGUAGGGAGAGGGGACCUUUGUGCUGAUUUGCAAAGUCUGUUUCUGGGAUCAAGUGGAAAAAAAAAAGUAGUAAAUUCUGUAUCUCUGCCUUCACACCCUUAAUGAGCGAGCGUUAGGCAAGGCAGGACUUGUUUACUUGAGCUGUUGGUCACGCUCAGAUAGUGUCACAUCCCUCCCGUUCCUCCACUGUGCUUGGCAGACUGCCAUUUUCUGGGGGCAUCUGUGUGGGGGUGGAAAUCCCUGGACAAAACUGUUGGGAAGCUUUUAAAUUUUUCAGCGAACAGGAGCAAAUGUCAAGGAAACAGAAAAAGAAUCUGCAAGAGCCACAAAGAUCAGUAAGGAGCAUGCAUAUAGAUAUAUAUUUUUUUAAGCUUUCUUCUUUUUUACAUAAGAAAAUAAGAUUGUGAUUAGGCAGUAAUGAAAGAAAACGCUUGCAGAGUUGGUGCAGGAGGAAGGGACUGCCAUUCUGUUUGCCGAGCAGCUGCCCAGGGCAAGCGGCGCCGCGGGGGCUGCUGCUGCGGGCCAGUCUGUGGCUGCCGGGGCAGGAGAGGAGCUGUCAUUUAAGCACCAAGAAGUAGGUGGUCCAGCCGGCGAGGAGCAGCGCCCCGACCAGCACCGUGUAGCUGAACAGCACGAAGGCCAGCAGCUCCUUCAGCACCUUGAGGACGUGGACAGCAAAGGAGUCCGGCAUGGCUCUCCGGGCGCUGCGAGGCAGUUCAGUUAACCGAGAGGCUGUUGAGCAUAUUCCUCCAUUCGCUGAGAAACUGUGCUUCGGUGGGCCACUUGAGGAGGAUGCUGGCAUACAGCUGGGGAUCUCCCAAGGUUCAACUAUUUACGAAUGAAUGGCAAUGUGACGUAGAGGCCCCAGUGGUUCUGUCAAAGAGCAUGACUACAGUGCAGACGAAGGGAGGAGCAUUACUUUGGAUGCCCAGUAGCCACCAAGUUUCUGAAGAGGAACUGAGAAGCAGAAAGGCAGGGAGCGACCUAGAACAACUGGCUCCAAAAGGAGCCUGUCAGCUCAUCCUGUUUCAUUUUUAAGUUACGUAAGUAUGAAAUUGUGAAUUAAGUGUCAUGUAAUUGGUCUUUUGUCCUCAGAGUGUAUCUGAACCUAUGCAGUAAAAAUGUUAUUGCUUCCCCUUGUCAGAAGCUAUCUUUCCUUUGCAAAAUCAGUUGCCAAGAACAUGAGAAAAUUUAGUUACUGUGGCCCAGCCCCUUUGGCUACCUGUUCACAUGAUAAUACCAGGCCACGAUCUUUCUAGCAACAUAAUAAUGGCGCAAACCUUGGAAGUGCUAGAAAAAAAACUAAUAGGAAAAAAGUUACAGUUUUAAAUUUUCUUUAAAGUGAUGCGCUGAUGUUGGAGGAAAGAAGGCACCUUCUGCCACAUCUUUGUUCUUUGCCAUUACUUUUAUCACUAAUUGCAGUUCAAGUUGUGUGCAUUGCUACAACCUCUCAAGAAAAGUAUCACUAAGUCAUAAAAAGAACAUCAUCACAAAAAUUACCGGGUCAGGUAAGGUAACUGGGAAUGCACAUACAGUAGCAGGAAUGACAAAGAAUGAAGAGUGCUUGUAGGUCUAAACAGUGGACAGACACUACAAAGAAAUGGAUACAAAAGCAGUAGUUCUGGACAGAGCCUAGCAUAGCCCAGAAAGGAAACCUUUGUUACCAGUAAAUAUAGAAUGUGGAGGGAGCCCAAAGGAAAGGAAACCAGCACAUUUUAGGGGGCCCCCAUGACCGCCUUUCAAAACACAGCUGAGUACAGCUCUCUGACAGCAACAGAUCUCAGUGCAUUGACAGAAUUACCAGAUGAGAGAGACUAGGAAUAUUGGUAUGCAAUCAGGAGGAGAUGACAUCCUGCCUCCUGAGCUGCUUAGGAAGGUGACAAAAAAGUAAUCACAUCAGCAGAUUAAAACUAAACAGAAAGGAAAAAAAAAAAA